UUUAUUAAAAAUAAUUAUUAAUAUUUAAUUUUUAUUAACGAAUAAACUAUAAUUACUUUUAAUUAAAACUGAAGGGGAAAAUAAUUAAUAUUAAAAAAGAAAAUAAAAUGUACCUUUAGCAUAAGGGAAAUUCAAAAAUAAAUAAAAUUUUAUACUUCUCGAAAUACUUUGAGCUAAAUGUUUAAAUAAAUUAAUGUUUCAAUAUUAAUAAAAUUAAUAUUUAGAAGUGAAAUUCCUUUCAAAAAGUAGGAUAUCUAGUUAAAUAAAAUAAUUAUAUGUAUUUCUAUAAAUAAUAUUUAUUUUUAAAAAUUAUAGAAAAGUAAUUUUGGGAUAAUCUAAAAUUAUUAAUUUAAAUUUAUAUUUAACAUAAAUUUAAAGAAUAAAAUUUUCUUCUUUAUUUUCAUAAAUAAAUUAUUUAUAUAAAAUAAAUUAAUUUUUAUUAUUUAUUAAAUAUAAUUUUAAAAUUUAAAUAAAAAUGAAAUUAUUAGUAAAAGUUAAAAACAUUUUUAUAAAUUUAAAUAUAAAAUUUCACUUAAAUUUUCUUAAUUUGGGAAGAACUAGGCAAAUAAAUUUUCUGACUGUUUAAUAAAAACAACGCAUUUAGAUCGUUAAUAAAUGCAAAUCCUGCUCAAUGAGAUUUAAAUUGCUGUAGUAUUUUGACUAUACAAAGGUAUUGAAAUAAGAUUUUAAUUGAAUGCUAAGAGAAUGGAUUUCAGAAAAAAACUUUUUUCAAGUUAAAAAUUGAAAUUUUUUUAAUUUGUGCAGAAACAAUUAUUAAUAUUAAGGACAAGAAGACCCUAUGAAUUUAUAAAUUUUAUUUAAUAUGUAACUACUAUUAAAAAAAUUUUAGCUGGGGCGGCGGAAAAAUAUUUAAAACUUUUUUAAAAUAAAAUGACCCAUUAUUAAUGAUUAUAUGUUAAAUACUCUAGGGAUAACAGCGUUAUAUUUUUUGAUAGAUCAUAUUGACAAAAAAGUUUGCGACCUCGAUGUUGGAUUAGGAUACUUUUUUAAUGCAGAUAUUAAAAAAAGAAGUUUGUUCAACUUUUAAUUUCCUACAUGAUCUGAGUUCAAACCGGAGUCGACCAGGUUGGAUUCUAUCUUAAUAAAAAAAUAUUUUAAUUAGUACGAAAGGAAUUUUAAAAUAUAAUUAUUAGGAUAAUCAACUUUAUUUGCAUCAAUUUUUGUAAUUA
This 1190-nucleotide ribosomal RNA is filed under the name Rhipicephalus sanguineus (brown dog tick). RNAcentral describes it as "16S ribosomal RNA". The record is from RNAcentral. Lineage: Eukaryota; Metazoa; Arthropoda; Arachnida; Ixodida; Ixodidae.